Molecule: long non-coding RNA, 1534 nt
Organism: Larimichthys crocea (large yellow croaker)
Lineage: Eukaryota; Metazoa; Chordata; Actinopteri; Sciaenidae
Exons: 7
Source: RefSeq, a predicted model, not a curated record
UCAAAUAUCAUUUGGUGGCAAAAAUUAAUAGAAUAAGUCAUUUUAUUUUUCAUUACAGCUUACAACUCUGUACGCUAAAACAACCAUACAUAAGAGUGGUUUGUUCCCACACAGGCCAUCACUGUGUUGGGACUGGGAACAAUCACUGUGCAAUCACCUGUAAAUUAUAAAUUAUUAUUCUCACUGUUCACGUUUAGAUUUUUGUUAUUUUAAUUUGUACUCAUGCAACAAGAUUGGACAUUUCACUAAUUUUGUAUAGUAGUAACUAGUAAAUAAAAACAAUGUCACGUGACUCACAAUUUACGUACGUGACUCAUAAUUUACGUACGUGACGUCAGAGUACGUCGUCAUGGUUUCACCGCUGUCUAACGUUUAAAUAAAGUGGAUAAAACUUCACGAAUUUAGCUCAAAACGUUAAAACACGUUUGUAUGUUGAACUGAUUUAGAAAUAAUUCACACUCAAGGUUUUUUAUAAACCGUGAAGAAUGACGGAGAGGAGCUGGAGAGGAGCUUUUUUUGAGGGAAACACCUGAACACAGUUCUCAGGAACCACUGGCCGCCAGCCUGCCGCCUCUGCAAACUGACAGAGUCUGGACAGCAGGGGAGGGUGGAGUAUUCCUCCAGGGGGGGCUGGGACACUUCCAGCUGGUCUGCUGAGGUGUGGAGCUCGCCUCGGGGUAAGCCUCUCGUACUCUCUUCAAGGGAAAAUUCCCCUUUCCUCCGUUUUCCAUCGGCCGCCUCAUAACUCAAAAAGACACACUUUAUUUCAUUUUGGAGGCAGCAGUGGAAGAUUUGCCCAAACGGCAUGAAGGUGUUGCUGUCUGAGGGAACCCACGGUGAUGGACAGUGAACCCAAUGAACAGGCCACACGCCUUCUUGUUUCUGCCUGUGUGUCAUGGUGAAUAUCCACGGGGUCAGGCAAGAACCCUCCCGACCCAUCAGCAGGUCUCACACGGCCUCAACACCUCUGCCGAGCAGCAUCCACAAACAACAACUCUGCCCGUGGCUACAAACAAGGCGAAGCACAUCAGAGCACAAUACAGAACCAUUUCAAACUCACCAGGAGCUGCAGUCCCCCCCAAGUAAAGUCAAAGAUGAUGGAAUGGUCUUCAUAAAGAAUAAUGCUGCAUUCAAACCAUGUUAGACAGCCUCACAUUGUUACAACCUAUGACCCCCCACUGCUAGUCAGAACUUCAACAAGUUUAAGCAGUUAUAAAUAUAGUUUAAAGGCUAUGUAGCUCCAUUCCAAGUCACAGAAUUGACUGAUUUUCAUUGAACUGUUCAUGAUGAUAAUUUUCACACUUCUGUAGUUCCUCUAGCCAAAUUGGACACAUUGAGAACUUCUGAAAUGCUCCAUAUCUCCUCACAAUUUACCUCACACAAAUGUUUUUUUCCCAUCUGGCUGUCCGUAUUUAUAUCUACAGGAUAUAAAUGGAGCAUAAACAAUAAGAUUGGCUGUUCUCAAAAGCACAUGCUCCUUGAAAUCAGAUUGGAAGGAAGGGUAUUUCUUUCAACUUUGCCUUCUGGCCUUUUG